RNAcentral lists this ribosomal RNA (729 nucleotides) under uncultured bacterium. RNAcentral describes it as "bacterial SSU rRNA". It matches the Rfam family "Bacterial small subunit ribosomal RNA", at positions 62 to 770 of the family's 1533-position model. The record is from RNAcentral.
UCGAACGAGGCUGAGGGGGCAACUCCUCAGUCGAGUGGCGGACGGGUGAGUAACACGUGGGUAACCUGCCCGGAAGUGGGGAAUACCUCGGGGAAACUCGAGCUAAUACCGCAUGACAUCUUCGGGACGAAAGUCCUGACGAUCAAAGCGGGGUCGCAAGAUCUCGCGCUACCGGAUGGGCCCGCGCCCGAUUAGCUAGUUGGCGAGGUAAUGGCUCACCAAGGCUUCGAUCGGUAACCGGCCUGAGAGGGCGAUCGGUCACACCGGAACUGAGACACGGUCCGGACUCCUACGGGAGGCAGCAGUGGGGAAUCUUGCGCAAUGGGCGAAAGCCUGACGCAGCAACGCCGCGUGGAGGAUGAAGGCCCUUGGGUUGUAAACUCCUGUCGGUUGGGAAGAAAUCGUUCGGGGUUCAUACCCCCGGACGUUGACUGUACCAGCAAAGGAAGCCCCGGCUAACUCUGUGCCAGCAGCCGCGGUAAUACAGAGGGGGCCAGCGUUAUUCGGAAUUAUUGGGCGUAAAGGGCGCGUAGGCGGCUUUGCGUGUCUUUCGUGAAAUCCCUCGGCUUAACUGAGGACGUGCGGAAGAAACUGCAGAGCUGGAGUCCGGGAGAGGGGGGUGGAAUUCCCAGUGUAGCGGUGAAAUGCGUAGAUAUUGGGAGGAACACCGGUGGCGAAGGCGGCCCCCUGGACCGGUACUGACGCUGAGGCGCGAAAGCGUGGGUAGCA